CCUACGGGAGGCAGCAGUAGGGAAUCUUUCACAAUGGGCGAAAGCCUGAUGGAGCAACGCCGCGUGCAGGAUGAAGGCCUUCGGGUUGUAAACUGCUUUUAUAAGCGAGAAAUAUGAUGGUAACUUAUGAAUAAGGAUCGGCUAACUACGUGCCAGCAGCCGCGGUCAUACGUAGGAUCCGAGCAUUAUCCGGAGUGACUGGGUGUAAAGAGUUGCGUAGGUGGGAUAAUAAGUAGCUAGUGAAAUCUGGUGGCUCAACCAUUCAGACUAUUAGCUAAACUGUUAAGCUCGAGACCGUUAGGGGUAACUGGAAUUUCUAGUGUAGGAGUGAAAUGCGUAGAUAUUAGAAGGAACACCAAUAGCGUAGGCAGGUUACUGGGACGGUUCUGACACUAAGGCACGAAAGCGUAGGGAGCAAACGGGAUUAGAUACCCUUGUAGUC
RNAcentral lists this ribosomal RNA (442 nucleotides) under uncultured bacterium. RNAcentral's name for it is "partial 16S ribosomal RNA". It matches the Rfam family "Bacterial small subunit ribosomal RNA", at positions 338 to 795 of the family's 1533-position model. The record is from RNAcentral.